RNAcentral lists this transfer RNA (73 nucleotides) under Coemansia sp. IMI 203386. RNAcentral's name for it is "tRNA-Met". It matches the Rfam family "tRNA". Rfam says of the family: Transfer RNA (tRNA) molecules are approximately 80 nucleotides in length. Their secondary structure includes four short double-helical elements and three loops (D, anti-codon, and T loops). Further hydrogen bonds mediate the characteristic L-shaped molecular structure. tRNAs have two regions of fundamental functional importance: the anti-codon, which is responsible for specific mRNA codon recognition, and the 3' end, to which the tRNAs corresponding amino acid is attached (by aminoacyl-tRNA synthetases). tRNAs cope with the degeneracy of the genetic code in two manners: having more than one tRNA (with a specific anti-codon) for a particular amino acid; and 'wobble' base-pairing, i.e. permitting non-standard base-pairing at the 3rd anti-codon position. The record is from RNAcentral. Lineage: Eukaryota; Fungi; Kickxellomycota; Kickxellomycetes; Kickxellales; Kickxellaceae. RNAcentral also lists the same sequence under 7 other names.
GCUUCUUUGGCUCAGUCGGUAGAGCGUAGGUCUCAUAAUCCUAAGGUCGUGAGUUCGAUCCUCACAGGAAGCA